RNAcentral lists this ribosomal RNA (480 nucleotides) under uncultured bacterium. Its description in RNAcentral is "partial 16S ribosomal RNA". It matches the Rfam family "Bacterial small subunit ribosomal RNA", at positions 28 to 523 of the family's 1533-position model. The record is from RNAcentral.
GGCGAACGCUGGCGGCGUGCUUAACACAUGCAAGUCGAGCGAUGAAGCACCUUCGGGUGUGAAUUAGCGGCGAACGGGUGAGGAACACGUGAGAAAUCUGCCUUCAACACUGGGAUAACUCCGGGAAACCGGGGCUAAUACCGGAUAUGAAACCUGCGGGCAUCCGCGGGUUUGGACAGGUUUCCGGUUGAAGAUGAUCUCGCGGCCUAUCAGCUUGUUGGGGAGGUAAUGGCUCACCGAGGCGACGACGGGUAGCCGGCCGUGGGAGGGCGAACGGCCACACUGGGACUGAGACACGGCCCAGACUCCUACGGGAGGCAGCAGUGGGGAAUAUUGGGCAAUGGAGGAAACUCUGACCCAGCGACGCCGCGUGCGGGAUGAAGGCCUUCGGGUUGUAAACCGCUUUCAGCAGGGAAGAAGCGAAAGUGACGGUACCUGCAGAAGAAGCACCGGCUAACUACGUGCCAGCAGCCGCCGUAA